AAGUCGUAACAAGGUUUCCGUAGGUGAACCUGCGGAAGGAUCAUUAAAGUAUUUAAUUGGAUGCACUGAGUUAACUAAACUUGAUUUGGUUGCAUUUCAAUAUACAUUGUGAACUGUUGACAAACAAACAACUUUUGUUGUAACCCGAACGAGUACUUCACUAUAGAUACACCUUGGUGUAGAAGUAUGUGGUAUACUUGUUAGGUGUUGCUUCAUUUACUCUAAUUUAAUUUAUGACAACAUAAAAACAAUAAUAUAAAUACAACUUUUAACAAUGGAUCUCUAGGCUCCU
This 292-nucleotide unclassified non-coding RNA is filed under the name fungal sp. RNAcentral describes it as "partial internal transcribed spacer region". The stretch from base 1 to 46 matches the Rfam family "Eukaryotic small subunit ribosomal RNA", at positions 1786 to 1831 of the family's 1831-position model. Lineage: Eukaryota; Fungi. The record is from RNAcentral.